Molecule: ribosomal RNA, 253 nt
Filed under: uncultured bacterium
Lineage: Bacteria
Description: partial 16S ribosomal RNA
Rfam family: Bacterial small subunit ribosomal RNA
Source: RNAcentral
UACGGAGGGUGCAAGCAUUGAUCGGAAUUACUGGGCGUAAAGGGCGUGUAGGCGGCAGAACAAGUCAGAUGUGAAAUUCCGCGGCUCAACUGCGGAGCUGCAUUUGAAACUGUUUUGCUAGAGGGUAGUUAGGGAAAACGGAAUUCCACGUGUAGCGGUGAAAUGCGUAGAUAUGUGGAAGAACACCGGUGGUGAAGACGGUUUUCUGGGCUAUACCUGACGCUGAGGCGCGAAAGCUAGGGGAGCAAACAGG